UACGGGGGGGGCAAGCGUUGUUCGGAAUUACUGGGCGUAAAGGGCUCGUAGGUGGCCAACUAAGUCAUGCGUGAAAUCCCUCGGCUUAACCGGGGAACUGCGUCUGAUACUGGAUGGCUUGAGUUUGGGAGAGGGAUGCGGAAUUCCAGGUGUAGCGGUGAAAUGCGUAGAUAUCUGGAGGAACACCGGUGGCGAAGGCGGCAUCCUGGACCAACACUGACACUGAGGAGCGAAAGCGUGGGGAGCAAACAGG
RNAcentral lists this ribosomal RNA (253 nucleotides) under uncultured bacterium. RNAcentral describes it as "partial 16S ribosomal RNA". It matches the Rfam family "Bacterial small subunit ribosomal RNA", at positions 524 to 776 of the family's 1533-position model. The record is from RNAcentral.